This is a long non-coding RNA of Callorhinchus milii (elephant shark), 532 nucleotides long. RefSeq lists it as uncharacterized. NCBI's taxonomy places the organism in Eukaryota, Metazoa, Chordata, Chondrichthyes, Chimaeriformes, Callorhinchidae. The transcript is spliced from 3 exons. The record is from RefSeq and is a predicted model, not a curated record.
GCUCGUGCUUCCGGUGAGCGGGUUGGGCGGCGGUGUCAGGACGGGCGUCACUCCUUCCCGGGGUCGGAAAUGUGACGGCGCCGCACCAGAGACUAAAAUCAUAUGGUGUCCCCCAACAGUGGGGUUGAAGAUGACUGACGGAGCGGUGGGAUGAGAGCCCGAUCCUGUGUCAAAGCUUGUCGUAUUCAGCUCCUCUUGAAACUGGCAGCAGGAGCUGCAGAUCGCUGAUCACCGAGGCUGGGAGACGGUUUGACCUUCAGGUCACUAAGGAGGAAGCAGUGUGAACAGGCCGACUUACUGAUACUCCAGGACCUUGUGUUUUCUUGUGUCUCGAUGCUGAAUCUGAAACUCCGAUGAAAGGAUCUGCUCAGGCUAAAUAGGACAGAGGGCUCGGUGCCCGAUCACGUGUUGUGUGAGGAGCCAUUGACAACAUUAGUGUGCGAUGGCGCUGCGGAGAACGGAUGGAACGUCUAUCAUCCAGGCUCUGGCGAUGACCGUGGCUGAGAUCCCAGUGUUUCUGUACUCAACGUUC